UUUGAUCUCAAAUCAG
RNAcentral lists this ribosomal RNA (16 nucleotides) under Tomentella sp. asp1. Its description in RNAcentral is "partial 28S ribosomal RNA". The record is from RNAcentral. Lineage: Eukaryota; Fungi; Basidiomycota; Agaricomycetes; Thelephorales; Thelephoraceae.